GGUUCCAUAGAGUAGCGGUUAGCAUGUCUGCUUUACACACAGAAGGUCCUGGGUUCGUGCCCCAGUGAAGGCA
Molecule: transfer RNA, 73 nt
Filed under: Pteropus alecto (black flying fox)
Lineage: Eukaryota; Metazoa; Chordata; Mammalia; Chiroptera; Pteropodidae
Also listed under: 1 other name
Rfam family: tRNA
About the family: Transfer RNA (tRNA) molecules are approximately 80 nucleotides in length. Their secondary structure includes four short double-helical elements and three loops (D, anti-codon, and T loops).
Source: Rfam by way of RNAcentral